GCCAUUAAAGCUAGGACUUGGACCUGCGGAAGAUCAUUA
This 39-nucleotide ribosomal RNA is filed under the name Dothiorella viticola. RNAcentral's name for it is "partial 18S ribosomal RNA". Lineage: Eukaryota; Fungi; Ascomycota; Dothideomycetes; Botryosphaeriales; Botryosphaeriaceae. The record is from RNAcentral.